UAGGGAAUCUUCCACAAUGGACGCAAGUCUGAUGGAGCAACGCCGCGUGAGUGAAGAAGGUUUUCGGAUCGUAAAGCUCUGUUGUUGGUGAAGAAGGAUAGAGGCAGUAACUGGUCUUUAUUUGACGGUAAUCAACCAGAAAGUCACGGCUAACUACGUGCCAGCAGCCGCGGUAAUACGUAGGUGGCAAGCGUUGUCCGGAUUUAUUGGGCGUAAAGCGAGCGCAGGCGGAAUGAUAAGUCUGAUGUGAAAGCCCACGGCUCAACCGUGGAACUGCAUCGGAAACUGUCAUUCUUGAGUGCAGAAGAGGAGAGUGGAAUUCCAUGUGUAGCGGUGGAAUGCGUAGCUAUAUGGAAGAACGCCAGUGGCGAAGGCGGCUCUCUGGUCUGCAACUGACGCUGAGGCUCGAAAGCAUGGGUAGCGAACAGG
This 429-nucleotide ribosomal RNA is filed under the name bacterium. RNAcentral describes it as "partial 16S ribosomal RNA". It matches the Rfam family "Bacterial small subunit ribosomal RNA", at positions 355 to 776 of the family's 1533-position model. The record is from RNAcentral.